AAUAUCUAAGGUUUCCAGAGUAAAGCUGAUCUGCUCUGGGUAAGUCGGGGCCUAAGGAGAGGUCGCAAGACGUAUCCGAUGGACAACAGGUUUAGAUUCCUGUACCGCAUAUAAACAGAACUGUGGGGACGCAUGUGGAAAGCAUAAGCCGGGAAUGGAAAGACCGGUACAAGCGAGGUAGGUGUGUGACAGGCAAAUCCGUCGCAUAAGCCGAAGACGUGAUGUGGAGCGAAAUUUAGUAGUGAAGUAUGUGAGCCAUGUGCCGAGAAAAGCCGCUAUUGUUUUAUAUGUGCCCGUACCGUAAACCGACACAGGUGGAUGAGGAGAGAAUCCUAAGGCCGACGGAAGAAGCAUUGUUAAGGGAUUCGGCAAAAUGACCCCGUAACUUCGGGAGAAGGGGUGCCCACUGAAUGGUGGGCCGCAGAGAAUAGGCUCAAGCAACUGUUUAGCAAAAACACAGGUCUAUGCGAAACCGAAAGGUGAAGUAUAUGGGCUGACGCCUGCCCGGUGCUGGAAGGUUAAGAGGAGAGGUUAGCGCAAGCGAAGCUUUGAAUUUAAGCCCCAGUAAACGGCGGCCGUAACUAUAACGGUCCUAAGGUAGCGAAAUUCCUUGUCGGGUAAGUUCCGACCCGCACGAAAGGCGUAAUGAUUUGAGCACUGUCUCGACAAUGCAUCCGGUGAAAUUGAAGUACCAGUGAAGAUGCUGGUUACCCGCGCCAGGACGGAAAGACCCCAUGGAGCUUUACUCCAGUUUGAUACUGGGAUUCGGUACUGCACGUACAGGAUAGGUGGGAGACUGAGAACUAUGGACGCCAGUCUGUAGGGAGUCGCUGUUGGGAUACCACCCCUGUAGUACUGGGUUUCUAACCGUCUGCCGUGAUCCGGCAGUGGGACAAUGUCAGGCGGGGAGUUUGACUGGGGCGGUCGCCUCCGAAAGGGUAUCGGAGGCGCUCAAAGGUUCCCUCAGAAUGGUCGGAAACCAUUUGAAGAGUGCAAAGGAGGGAGCUUGACUGCGACACCGACGGGUGGAGCAGGUACGAAAGUAGGACUUAGUGAUCCGGUGGUAUAAAGUGGGAUUGCCAUCGCUCAACGGAUAAAAGCUACCCUGGGAUAACAGGCUUAUCACUCCCAAGAGUUCACAUCGACGGAGUGGUUUGGCACCUCGAUGUCGGCUCAUCGCAUCCUGGGGCUGUAGCAGGUCCCAAGGGUUGGGCUGUUCGCCCAUUAAAGCGGUACGCGAGCUGGGUUCAGAACGUCGUGAGACAGUUCGGUCCCUAUCCGGCGCGGGCGGAGGAUAUUUGAGAGGAGCUGUCCUUAGUACGAGAGGACCGGGAUGGACGGACCACUGGUGUAUCUGUUGUCGACCAACGGCAUGGCAGAGUAGCCAAGUCCGGAAGGGAUAAACGCUGAAGGCAUCUAAGCGUGAAGCCCCCCUCAAGAUGAGAUAUCCCUCCUUCGGGAGUAAGACCCCUUGAAGACUACAAGGUAGAUAGGGCAGAGGUGGAAGUGUGGCAACACAUGGAGCUGACUGUUACUAAUAGGUCGAGGGCUUGAU
This 1555-nucleotide ribosomal RNA is filed under the name metagenome. RNAcentral's name for it is "bacterial LSU rRNA". It matches the Rfam family "Bacterial large subunit ribosomal RNA", at positions 1340 to 2925 of the family's 2925-position model. The record is from RNAcentral.